RNAcentral lists this ribosomal RNA (253 nucleotides) under uncultured bacterium. RNAcentral's name for it is "partial 16S ribosomal RNA". It matches the Rfam family "Bacterial small subunit ribosomal RNA", at positions 524 to 776 of the family's 1533-position model. The record is from RNAcentral.
UACAGAGGUCUCAAGCGUUGUUCGGAUUCAUUGGGCGUAAAGGGUGCGUAGGUGGCGCGGUAAGUCGGGUGUGAAAUCUCGGAGCUUAACUCCGAAAUUGCAUUCGAUACUGCCGUGCUCGAGGACUGGAGAGGAGACUGGAAUUCAUGGUGUAGCAGUGAAAUGCGUAGAGAUCAUGAGGAAGACCAGUGGCGAAGGCGGGUCUCUGGGCCGAUAUCGACGCUGAGGAGCGAAAGCGUGGGGAGCGAACAGG